This 253-nucleotide ribosomal RNA is filed under the name uncultured bacterium. RNAcentral describes it as "partial 16S ribosomal RNA". It matches the Rfam family "Bacterial small subunit ribosomal RNA", at positions 524 to 776 of the family's 1533-position model. The record is from RNAcentral.
UACGUAGGGGGCAAGCGUUAUCCGGAUUUACUGGGUGUAAAGGGGGCGCAGACGGCGAUGCAAGCCAGGAGUGAAAGCCCGGGGCCCAACCCCGGGACUGCUCUUGGAACUGCGUGGCUGGAGUGCAGGAGGGGCAGGCGGAAUUCCUGGUGUAGCGGUGAAGUGCGUAGAUAUCAGGAGGAACACCGGUGGCGAAGGCGGUCUGCUGGACAGCAACUGACGGUGAGGCGCGAAAGCGUGGGGAGCAAACAGG